UAAGGAAUAUUGGUCAAUGGAGGCAACUCUGAACCAGCCAUGCCGCGUGAAGGAUUAAGGCCCUCUGGGUUGUAAACUUCUUUUAUAUGGGAAGAAAUGUACUUUUUCUAAAGUGCUUGACGGUACCAUAGGAAUAAGCACCGGCUAACUCCGUGCCAGCAGCCGCGGUAAUACGGAGGGUGCAAGCGUUAUCCGGAUUUACUGGGUUUAAAGGGUGCGUAGGCGGAUGAAUAAGUCAGUGGUGAAAUCUCCGAGCUUAAAUCGGAAACUGCCGUUGAUACUAUUUGUCUUGAAUAUUGUGGAGGUAAGCGGAAUAUGUCAUGUAGCGGUGAAAUGCUUAGAUAUGACAUAGAACACCAAUUGCGAAGGCAGCUUGCUACACAAUCAUUGACGCUGAGGCACGAAAGCGUGGGGAUCAAACA
Molecule: ribosomal RNA, 422 nt
Filed under: uncultured bacterium
Lineage: Bacteria
Description: bacterial SSU rRNA
Rfam family: Bacterial small subunit ribosomal RNA
Source: RNAcentral